ACUAAGAAUGUUAAAUUAUCUAUAUAUACAUUUUACAGGUGAAAUGAAAAGUUAUUCGCUUUUAUUGUGAAUUUCCAGUCCAAAGAUGCAUUAGAUGUAAAGCAAAAUUAACAUGAGUUUUGUUAUGAAUUGGACACCAACAAGCAUGCUAUAGGUGGUUGAUUAUAAUUUGUUGACAGGGUGUUUAUUGUUGGAACUUUUCGGACUGCUUUGUUAAUCUCCAACUAAUAGUCAUUUUUAAUUAGUUUAUAGUGACGAGAAACACAAAUUUGCAGAUGAGUAAUUUUCGCCCUUGACCGAUGGAGAACUGGUACCUACGUCUUCGCCCUGUCGUUAUCAUCUAUGUUUCAUAGUUUGAAGACAAGAAAUUGCAAAAAUAGGUUGUGAUAGUGCGAGCAAGGGUGGUGAUGUUGGCACUAGAAUGCGAGCACACACUUUAUAUGAUUGUGAGAUGUACCAGUGUAUCACAUCGACCACCCAAUUUUGCGAGUAACGAUGCGCCAUCAUUUCAGUAUUUAUCGAUUAAGCAUACAACCACUCCGGCUAGAAGACGAAAUUAAUUAGCUUUUAAGUUGCUCAUUUUGACCCGUUUAAAGACGGCCUUUUUUCGGGUUGAUCCAUAUAAAAACGCGUUGGCCAUCUAACCCGUUUAAGUGUUCGAUUUGAAUAAAUAAAUCAGCGAUUCCAGCAACUUUGCCAGUUCAUGCUUUAGCCUUUUGGUCAUGGAUAAUAGUAUUAUUCUUUGGUAACUAUGCAAGCAUGGAUGGAUAUAAAAUGUCUACUUACAACUUCUCUCGCUUCACUGGCUCGGUGUUCUUCACCAUUGUGCCGGCGUUUCCUAUCUUCUCCAUCGCGGACGCACCACAACCACAUUUCACCAGAUUGGUGCAUCAAAGAAUUAAUUAGACUUUUUCAGUACAAGACCCUGUUGAUUAAGGUAACCACGGGAAUUUAUUGUACCCAUAUAGAAUGAGAGUGUAAGAAAACAUGUGUUCUUUAAAAAUACAUUUGGCAUAUGUUGUUA
Molecule: long non-coding RNA, 1024 nt
Organism: Helianthus annuus (common sunflower)
Lineage: Eukaryota; Viridiplantae; Streptophyta; Magnoliopsida; Asterales; Asteraceae
Exons: 3
Source: RefSeq, a predicted model, not a curated record